GCUUAACACAUGCAAGUCGAGGGGCAGCAUUUUAGUUUUUUUGCAAACUGAAGAUGGCGACCGGCGCACGGGUGAGUAACACGUAUCCAACCUGCCGAUAACUCCGGGAUAGCCUUUCGAAAGAAAGAUUAAUACCGGAUAGCAUACGAAUAUCGCAUGAUAUUUUUAUUAAAGAAUUUCGGUUAUCGAUGGGGAUGCGUUCCAUUAGUUUGUUGGCGGGGUAACGGCCCACCAAGACUACGAUGGAUAGGGGUUCUGAGAGGAAGGUCCCCCACAUUGGAACUGAGACACGGUCCAAACUCCUACGGGAGGCAGCAGUGAGGAAUAUUGGUCAAUGGGCGCGAGCCUGAACCAGCCAAGUAGCGUGAAGGAUGAAGGCUCUAUGGGUCGUAAACUUCUUUUAUAUGGGAAUAAAGUUUUCCACGUGUGGAAUUUUGUAUGUACCAUAUGAAUAAGGAUCGGCUAACUCCGUGCCAGCAGCCGCGGUAAUACGGAGGAUCCGAGCGUUAUCCGGAUUUAUUGGGUUUAAAGGGAGCGUAGGUGGAUUGUUAAGUCAGUUGUGAAAGUUUGCGGCUCAACCGUAAAAUUGCAGUUGAAACUGGCAGUCUUGAGUACAGUAGAGGUGGGCGGAAUUCGUGGUGUAGCGGUGAAAUGCUUAGAUAUCACGAAGAACUCCGAUUGCGAAGGCAGCUCACUAGACUGUCACUGACACUGAUGCUCGAAAGUGUGGGUAUCAAACAGGAUUAGAUACCCUGGUAGUCCACACAGUAAACGAUGAAUACUCGCUGUUUGCGAUAUACAGUAAGCGGCCAAGCGAAAGCAUUAAGUAUUCCACCUGGGGAGUACGCCGGCAACGGUGAAACUCAAAGGAAUUGACGGGGGCCCGCACAAGCGGAGGAACAUGUGGUUUAAUUCGAUGAUACGCGAGGAACCUUACCCGGGCUUAAAUUGCAACAGAAUAUAUUGGAAACAGUAUAGCCGUAAGGCUGUUGUGAAGGUGCUGCAUGGUUGUCGUCAGCUCGUGCCGUGAGGUGUCGGCUUAAGUGCCAUAACGAGCGCAACCCUUAUCUUUAGUUACUAACAGGUCAUGCUGAGGACUCUAGAGAGACUGCCGUCGUAAGAUGUGAGGAAGGUGGGGAUGACGUCAAAUCAGCACGGCCCUUACGUCCGGGGCUACACACGUGUUACAAUGGGGGGUACAGAAGGCGGCUACCUGGUGACAGGAUGCUAAUCCCAAAAACCUCUCUCAGUUCGGAUCGAAGUCUGCAACCCGACUUCGUGAAGCUGGAUUCGCUAGUAAUCGCGCAUCAGCCAUGGCGCGGUGAAUACGUUCCCGGGCCUUGUACACACCGCCCGUCAAGCCAUGAAAGCCGGGGGUACCUGAAGUACGAAACCGCAAGGAGCGUCCUAGGGUAAAACUGGU
This 1423-nucleotide ribosomal RNA is filed under the name uncultured organism. RNAcentral describes it as "16S ribosomal RNA". It matches the Rfam family "Bacterial small subunit ribosomal RNA". The record is from RNAcentral.